This is a long non-coding RNA of Brachypodium distachyon (stiff brome), 586 nucleotides long. RefSeq lists it as uncharacterized. Lineage: Eukaryota; Viridiplantae; Streptophyta; Magnoliopsida; Poales; Poaceae. The record is from RefSeq and is a predicted model, not a curated record. The transcript has 2 exons.
UGUAAGCCAGCCCAUGAAUCCCCAGUUCUUCCUCUUCUCGCUGUCUCCUCUGCGGGAUCCCGGUGUCUUCAGCGACGACCGUUCCGGCGUCUGACAUUGCUUCGACUCCGACAUGGCGGACCGCGAUAGCCUCGCGCGGCUGAGCCCAUCUCCGUCGACGUGCACAAGCAAAGGUACCUCCAUAGACUUAGCCUGCAAAAGCGGAUCUGUCGAGCCGAGCUCUGCAUCUGCUCCGGUUCCAUUUCCUCCAUUGAGCAACCAUGCUGUAGUGAGUAUGAUGUCAAUACGGAAGGACCUGAAGGAGCCAAGGAUGUUAAUCUUCCAUCCAUGGAAUUGGGUCCCUGGAGAAACGUGAGGUAAUUUGUUUUUUUUUGAUUCGACAGUAUAAGUGCAGUCCUAUUGUUUUGUGAUAACGGGCCAUCAACAUCAAUCCUGCCCGAGUCUUGUCCACUGCUAGGUUUCGAUUAGAUUUUCAUAUCACAAUAUCUUUAGAACUUGUACCUUGGUAGUAUCAAUUGUAUGUCACGAUGUUUACAUUACACAUUGAAACCAGAAAUGUUUUACAUUACAUUACAUUACAUAUAUA